Molecule: ribosomal RNA, 762 nt
Filed under: Triticum aestivum (bread wheat)
Lineage: Eukaryota; Viridiplantae; Streptophyta; Magnoliopsida; Poales; Poaceae
Description: partial small subunit ribosomal RNA
Source: RNAcentral
AUGGAUUUAAACCCAUCAGUGACGUGCUGGAACGUCCCAGGAUUGAACAACCCAGCGAAGAGGCAAGCGGUCAAAGAUUUCCUUGUUUCGGUGCGGCCUAAGCUAGUGUGCUUACAAGAAACUAAGCUCGAUGUAGUGGACAACUUUCUCUUAAUGCAAUGCUGUGGGCCGUCCUUAGACGGCUUUGCUUAUUUGUCGGCAGUUGAUACGAGAGGAGGGAUCAUUCUUGCUUGGGACACCACCGUGAUGCUAGUUGAUCACAUCACGCGUGAUACGAACUCCAUCAUUGGACUGGUACACCCAAAGUUAGGGGAUGAUUGGUGGGUUAUGGUGGUCUAUGGACCACAAGGAGACGACCUCAAGAUGCAAUUCCUUGAGGAGCUCACUGCAAGGCAAACGGCAUGCCCGGGGCCGUGGAUGGUCUUGGGUGAUUUCAACUUAAUCCUUCAAGCCUCGGAGAAAAAUAAUACGAACCUUAACCGGGUCAUGAUGAACAAGUUUAGGAGCUUCGUCGACAAUAAUGAACUGAAAGAGCUUUACAUGCAUGGGCGUCGAUUUACAUGGUCGAAUGAGAGAGAUGCCCCGACAAUGACAAAAAUCGACAGGAUCCUCGUCUCGGUGGAUUGGGAACUGGCGCGGCUAGAUUAUCUACUGCAAGCACUCUCGACAAGCAUCUCUGAUCAUGCCCCACUACAUCUUUCGACCAAUGCUACUUAUUGCCGAGCAAAAGAUUUCACUUUAAGAGUUUCUGGGCCAAGCUAG